UUAAUCUAGGAAAUUACACUCG
RNAcentral lists this microRNA (22 nucleotides) under Medicago truncatula (barrel medic). RNAcentral describes it as "mtr-miR1509b". Lineage: Eukaryota; Viridiplantae; Streptophyta; Magnoliopsida; Fabales; Fabaceae. The record is from miRBase by way of RNAcentral.